UUAAUUCUCCCUUAAGGCAUCAGCAGUGAUUAAAGUAAACAGUGUUCUAUUAUUUCUAAUGUACAUGCACGCCAGAGAAAAGGCCCAAAUCUUGGCUUCCUUCACAGGGACUGCUCCGUGCCAGACUGCUAGUACAAAGAAACUUCAAAGAACAUUUUGGUAAUGCCUGACAUUUCCCUCAUUUUGAGACAAUUUCUGGCUAUUAAAGCAUGGAUGCCCUGGACAAGCAAGCAUCUCUGAAGCUUCACUCCAGUAUUUGCAGUAUGCACACUGCUUUUAAGGUACAGCAUUUUUCACAAGGCAAAUGUGGGAGAAAGAAAACAUGAUGAGAAAGAUCUACAUUCCUCAGUGGUUUUAUUCUUCUUUAGACCUCACCUAAAUUGACUACAAAAGGCUGUGCCAUCUGGGGAUCUUCUCUUCUCCCCUGAUCAAUGAUAGUGAGACCUGGACCAUAGCUUCUACUGACAUAUGGGCACAGGCUGCUGGUGACUCUCUUGAAGAAGCACUCUACAAAGACAACGUGCUACUCAAAUUUGAAAAGCAUCUAAACCUGGGGCAAGACAAGGACUACUAAAUAGGUAAUUAAGUCAUAUCAUUGUACUGAACAGCAUCUGUAGGCAUGUUGCCUGCUUUCUUGACUGCCAAAGACAGUAUAUCGUUCAGGAAUUUGAGUCUUUGCAGGAAGUCUCUGACCAUUUCCUCAGACAUGAAGGUGACCAACAUCUCACAUCAUCAAGAGAAUACACAUUUUUGCUGUGUGAAGACAGAAAAUUAAAUACAAUCUCAAGAGAAUUAACUUUUGUUGCUGCUUACUAGUCACACACACAGUAUGUGUGGCAUUCACAAAGGCUUCAGAAGCUGAAUAAUAUGUAUACACAAAUACAUAUAUAUAAAUUAAGGUCUGAGAUUCAUUGACACUUACCUUAAAAAACAACAACAAAAAAGCCAAACUUUUAACAUUACGAAAGAUUUUCUAUUCUAACUUAUUGCAGAUGAUAUGGCUGUGACUCACACUCUCCUAAAAAACAGUUGCAAUAGUACUGCCUCCUCAAGUCUUGGCAGACCUGUCAAGAGCCAGCCAUGGACACCAUAAGCUCUGCCACUCCAGUCCUGGAAGUUCUGGCACAGGAACCUGUCCUGCCUCUGUGUUUCAGGCCAGCGAAGUCCAGCCUUUCUCUCAGUUGGUGUUUCACUCUGAUCUGGACACAAGAUCUAGUCUAGCCUAUUCAAAUCAAGCGUGGGCCCACCAUCUACACGUUACCACCCUUCUGACCUGUGGUAACAGCAUCCAUAUAAGACUCAGUAGACCAGACCAUUUUUUGGCCUUUCGACUGCUCCAGUUCAGUCUGAUGUAUCCGCACAAACCCAUCCGCGUCUGGGGUGUAAAUGAAUGAUUCUCCAUUUCUACUGCAACCUCUACAGUGGGGGAAGCACUCUCCAGCAGAGAGGCCUAGGGGCCAGGAUUGACUUAAAUCAGCUCAACAAGAAGCUAUUUGGAAUAAUAACUUGAAGAGGAGGAACUAUGCAGUUAAUGGAGAACGGGGGCACUCAGAACACCUUCUCUGUCUUGGCUAUAGCCUCCCUGAAAUUGAAUCAGAAGGACCUCUGUUGCUAUAAGCAGUUUUACAUUAUGAGUUUCAUGUAAAUACUUGCUCAUGCUAAAUGCUUAUAGACACAUUUAUACGAAAUGAAGAACACCGCCACGGUGACAGUGACCGUAGUUCUGUCUGAUACUGGUUUUACUGAAGCAGCAUGUACGUGCACACUUCCUGAAGAGAAGCAGCGUCUCUAGGAUCAACUCUCAUCUGGCACAAGAGCAGAGUAGGGAAGAUAUUUGCAACAUGAUCUUGCAUCACCCACAGAUUUGAUAUGUUGACAGGAAUUAUCUUGUCAGAGGAGCAGGCAACAAAAUCAUAAAUCUCACCUUGUAGAGCACAUUACGUGCUUGAGGAAGACUUUGUGACCCAUCUUUCUGCCCUUAGGGAUCCCAUGUUUGGUCAAAACAUCUACUUUGAAUCAAUGCCUGCAUGUUAUAGUCUUUUACCCACCCUGUUUCUUGAACAUCUUAAUAGGCUAUAAUUUUUUUUCUCAUCACUUAAGAUUUUGAGGGAGGAAAGAAGGAGGUGGUGGGGGAAGGGUAUGAUUUUGUUUGUAAAUUCAGAUGAGUUUUAAUGCUGAUGCAUUUGAUAGAUCUAAAUGAUAGUAAAUACAAACAAAACUGUUUCAUCUCCCCACCCUUGCUCCCAUUUUAUGUGAAUUAACAUAAUACACACUAUCGGGACUGCUGAUCCAUGUUUUACUGUGAUUUCCAGGCCUGGAAAAGUAUAUUGCUGUGGAAUUCAAAAGUGUCUGGUGUUGAUGAACAACCUAGCUAUGGCUUUUUAAGCUGCAUUUUGUUCACAAGAAUUCAUACUUCUUGCUCUACAGAUAAAGAUAUUUCUGCAAACACUGAACUACAGAUACUCCUAUUUGACAGACCCUACCUUUCCAACCUUUUAGUCCAUUAAAACCCAGUAGCAGUCAUUACCAUAGCGUUAUGUAUGUACAUCAGCUAGUAUACUGAAUAAGAUUUAAAACUACUGAAUACUUUCCUCUUUUCUCUUUUAAGUUUCAAUGAUGGACAAAGAUAAGCCUCUCAAACAACUACACACACAAACACUUAGGUUGCCUGAUACAUCUGGAAACUACAGAGAAGGUAUGACUCAAGCUUCUUCUGCUGCUUUUGCUCUUUAUGAUCAGAGGUUAUUUUAAGUUGGCAUCCUGCUAUGGCAACAUAUUGCAGGUGCUUCUAACACAUUUUCAGUGAAGAAAUCACCUCCAAGAUUAAGAUAUUUAUAUGGGGAUAUAAAGAACGUUGGCAUAGUUUCUGCUCAAGUUUCUGAACCUUGGUAAAUGCUGUACUUUUAUUCAAAUUAAUGAGCUUGCUCAGUUCAGUACUUACCAUUCACCUAAUAUUUCCUACCACAAAGAAAGGAAAAUCCAGUUCUAUCAUCAUCCAUUGACCAAACCACCUUUCUCACUUCUAAUGCUUUUUAGUAUGUUGUUGUUGAAAAAAAAUUACCCUUUGCCAAUGAACCCCUAAGAUUAUUCUGCUAUAAACGAUGGUUCAAAAUUGAAAAAUUCCCACUUCAUUUUUAAUAUGAAAAUUCAUAAGAUAUGACUGAUUUAGCUCCAGCUUACCAGUUAAACUCCAGUUUUGCACCACCUCAUUUAUGUCCACACUGGCCAAGUGAUGUCAGCGGGAAACAGUCCACACAAGAAUGGACCUAUAUGAAUUCUAAUUUGGGAUUGAAGCUGCUAUUUUACUUAUAGUUUUCAAAAUUUGCAUAUACUAUUUUUCCACUGUAAUGUAAGUAAGACUUCAAUCACAAGGAUAGAAUAAAACUGGCAUUGAAAAUGCAGGGCUUUCCAUGCACGACACACCUGGUGAGGCUGACAUAAGAAGGCCAACUGUCAAUUCUAGCCUCUAAUUCUAGUGUCUCUUCCUCCCCGAUUUCAGUUUAUUAUGUGUUUUAAUGGAGUGUUUCAUUUUAAAUUUUGGAGACUCUAUUGGUUAAAACUAAUUCUGUUGUUUUAUUACAAUAUCAGUUUAAUUAU
Dromaius novaehollandiae (emu) is the source of this 3597-nucleotide long non-coding RNA. RefSeq lists it as uncharacterized. Lineage: Eukaryota; Metazoa; Chordata; Aves; Casuariiformes; Dromaiidae. The transcript has 5 exons. The record is from RefSeq and is a predicted model, not a curated record.